CCUACGGGAGGCUGCAGUGAGGAAUAUUGGUCAAUGGCCGGAAGGCUGAACCAGCCAAGUCGCGGGAGGGACGACUGCCCUAUGGGUUGUAAACCUCUUUUAUAAGGGAAGAAUAAAUGCUACGUGUAGCAUGAUGCCUGUACCUUAUGAAUAAGCAUCGGCUAACUCCGUGCCAGCAGCCGCGGUAAUACGGAGGAUGCGGGCGUUAGCCGGUUUUAUUGGGUUUAAGGGGUGCGUCGGCGGUUUUUUAAGUUAGUGGUUAAACGUCGGGGCUUCACCUGGAUUUGCCAUUAAUACUGUAGACUCGAGUUCAGACGAGGUAGGCGGAAUGAGUGGAGUAGCGGUGAAAUGCUUAGAUAUAACUUAGAACUCCGAUUGCGAAGGCAGCUUACCAGACUGCGACUGACGCUGAUGCACGAGAGCGUGGGUAGCGAACAGGAUUAGAUACCCGGGUAGUC
RNAcentral lists this ribosomal RNA (458 nucleotides) under uncultured bacterium. RNAcentral describes it as "partial 16S ribosomal RNA". It matches the Rfam family "Bacterial small subunit ribosomal RNA", at positions 338 to 795 of the family's 1533-position model. The record is from RNAcentral.